AAUUUUUAAAUUGACCAGCUUACAUUGCAAUUCCCCGUUGCGAGAAACAAAAUUUACCUGGUGAGUGACAGGGUUCAUUUCAGAUUCUGAUGGACGGAUUCCCCUAGAAAAGCAGCCUCUACCUCUCAUCUCAGUGACCUCUCGCCUCUCAUCGGCUCUUUUCACUUUUCUCCCUUCGUUCCUCGGUUCUCUUCCAUCCAUCAGAGCCUCACGUGGUCAUGCCAACUUCUCACGCUCCCUUGCAAGCUCGCGGAUCCAGUCUCGUCAUUCUCUCGUCGCUGCUUCCUUCUCUCUGGC
This 297-nucleotide unclassified non-coding RNA is filed under the name Hevea brasiliensis (rubber tree). Lineage: Eukaryota; Viridiplantae; Streptophyta; Magnoliopsida; Malpighiales; Euphorbiaceae. The record is from RNAcentral.